RNAcentral lists this transfer RNA (71 nucleotides) under Stolephorus chinensis (China anchovy). Its description in RNAcentral is "tRNA-Thr". It matches the Rfam family "tRNA". Rfam says of the family: Transfer RNA (tRNA) molecules are approximately 80 nucleotides in length. Their secondary structure includes four short double-helical elements and three loops (D, anti-codon, and T loops). Further hydrogen bonds mediate the characteristic L-shaped molecular structure. tRNAs have two regions of fundamental functional importance: the anti-codon, which is responsible for specific mRNA codon recognition, and the 3' end, to which the tRNAs corresponding amino acid is attached (by aminoacyl-tRNA synthetases). tRNAs cope with the degeneracy of the genetic code in two manners: having more than one tRNA (with a specific anti-codon) for a particular amino acid; and 'wobble' base-pairing, i.e. permitting non-standard base-pairing at the 3rd anti-codon position. RNAcentral also lists the same sequence under 1 other name. Lineage: Eukaryota; Metazoa; Chordata; Actinopteri; Clupeiformes; Engraulidae. The record is from RNAcentral.
GUCCCAGUAGCUUAAUGCUAGAGCGCCGGUCUUGUAAUCCGGAAGCGGAGGUUAAAAUCCACCCUGAGACC